ACUUCAUCGAUUUUAAAAUAAAAACUUGAUUCAAGAUGAUAAUUGAGUUCAGUAGCUAAGUGAUUAAUAGCACCCAUGCAUACAAAUAUAAUCAACAUCCAACCGUGGAAUAUGAUAAACAUUACCUCCCAUAUAGUCACAUAAAGGAGCAUAGAUGAAAUUCCCACCAUAGUGUACAUUCAGUUUCACAAUAGUAUCCAUCUGUAAUAACCACAUGCAAAACAGAGCAUAAGUUG
Molecule: long non-coding RNA, 236 nt
Filed under: Panax ginseng (ginseng)
Lineage: Eukaryota; Viridiplantae; Streptophyta; Magnoliopsida; Apiales; Araliaceae
Description: long non-coding RNA (PGIN_LNC002538)
Source: RNAcentral